UACGUAGGUGGCAAGCGUUGUCCGGAAUUAUUGGGCGUAAAGCGCGCGCAGGCGGUCCUUUAAGUCUGAUGUGAAAGCCCACGGCUCAACCGUGGAGGGUCAUUGGAAACUGGAGGACUUGAGUGCAGAAGAGAAGAGUGGAAUUCCACGUGUAGCGGUGAAAUGCGUAGGGAUGUGGAGGAACACCAGUGGCGAAGGCGACUCUUUGGUCUGUAACUGAUGCUGAGGCGCGAAAGCGUGGGGGGCAAACAGG
RNAcentral lists this ribosomal RNA (253 nucleotides) under uncultured bacterium. RNAcentral's name for it is "partial 16S ribosomal RNA". It matches the Rfam family "Bacterial small subunit ribosomal RNA", at positions 524 to 776 of the family's 1533-position model. The record is from RNAcentral.